This 1143-nucleotide long non-coding RNA is filed under the name Pogona vitticeps (central bearded dragon). RNAcentral's name for it is "lncRNA (ENSPVIG00000004470.1)". The record is from RNAcentral. Lineage: Eukaryota; Metazoa; Chordata; Lepidosauria; Squamata; Agamidae.
AGAAUUUUUGUGUCUGUUCUCCACCCCACCCCAGGCUAGCUGAUUAAAGGUAUUGUACCCACAGUGGAGUUUGUUUGUUCGUUUAUUUAUUUAUUUUAUUAUUAGACUUUUACCCUGCCCCCCUAGACAAUGUCUACUCGGGGUGGCUUACGUGGAUAAAAAACACAACAAUAUGACAAAUAUAAAAAUCAUCUAAGACACAGUUUUAGCACUUAUUUCUAAACAGCAUAUUACCAAGAUGACAUAACUCAAGGAAGAAAAAUGAGGAUCAAUUAAGUGACUGGAGGGAAGGCCUGCCCGAAGAGCCAAGUUUUUAGGUUUUGGACUUUAUUUCAUUGGCUCCUUUUAGGGAGAAAGGUGGGGUAAAAAUAUUUGAAAUAAAUCAAUAUUAAAAGGUUUGAGAAGAAGCACAUAGACCACUUCCAUUUUCUUUCAUAUUCUCUGGAGUUAUUUUCCCUCCUCACUUUAUUCUGUUUUUCUGUCACUCAGGUAGAAACUGGUUGCCAUGUUUCAAAAGGGCAAUCUCUUUUCUCCGAUCAUCUAGAAAGACUGUGAACUCUUGGAUCCUGGCCCUUUUGAAAAUCUUGCUAGGAACAUCCGGAGACAGUUCUUUUUUCUGCCUCACUUCUUUCCUUUCAGUGUUACAGAUGCAGAGAGGAACCAGCUGACAUCUCAGAGACAAAGGUCACCAGCAUUGGGGAAGAAGAGAAAAUGCCUAGAAAGGAUUGCAUCGAAAGGACUACGAACAGCACUGAAGUGGCAUUUCAAAUGACAGUGGGGAAAUGCAGAUAGAAGGGCAGUGCCAUGCAGAGAUGAUGUGCCUCAAUUAUCCCGUAAGUUCCAUGAGGCAAAAUAUGUGGGUUGCAAUCCAGAUCCUGUCUGGAUUGAUGUAGAGAAGACCCUGUCCUUUAGAGGAAACAAUGGGGUGGGUGGGCAUGAUCAGUCCAUCAUCCAAGCAGCCUCUUUGUUUUCUCCCACAUAAGCAGAGGUACUUUUUUGUAUCAGAACUCCCAAGAAACCCCAGCUAGUGCAGCCAGUGGCCAUCACCAUAGCUCAGUGGAUAAUCCAGGUGUUCUUGGACUGCAGGUCCCAGAAGCCUUGACCACCAGCUGUGCUGGCCAAAGUUUUGGGGAGUUGCUAUCC